RNAcentral lists this unclassified non-coding RNA (527 nucleotides) under Hevea brasiliensis (rubber tree). Lineage: Eukaryota; Viridiplantae; Streptophyta; Magnoliopsida; Malpighiales; Euphorbiaceae. The record is from RNAcentral.
ACUGCCCUGGUUGCAAUGGGAAACCUCUAAUGAUGCUUUUCCUUUAUCGAGCAAUAAAUCAGAGAUGAUGGCUACUCCAAAAACUAAUUUAUGGGAAGCUGCUCAGGAUGUAACCCGUAUGCAAGAUUCAAGCAACCAUUCCAUUAGUAGCCGUGGGAGUUGGAGCCCAGGACUUCUCGAUGGCCAAUCCUCAAAUAUUGAGGGGAAUAGAUUUGGAGAAAUUGGAAGUUAUUAUAGUCAAUUUUCAUCAGAUGGAACAACAAGAAGGCCACAGCAAGAUGUUGACGAGUAUCUGGAGCGUAAAAGUGAAGAAGCUUUUCUCUUUGAAAGAUGGAGUCAACAACAGAGAAUCCAUUCAGGCAGUCUUUUGCUUUGUAACCAAAUAUUCUUUUAGCCGUAAUCUUCUUCUUUUUUUUUUUUUUCAAUUCGAAUUCACAUUAAUUUCUUUGUAUAGAUGUUUACAUCUAAUUCUCCUGGAAAUUGUUGACAUUAAUCUCUAUCAAAGCAGCAUAAGCUGUAUUUAGUUA